GUGCCAGCCGCCGCGGUAAUACCGGCAGCCCGAGUGAUGGCCGCUAUUAUUGGGCCUAAAGCGUCCGUAGCUGGCCGACCAAGUCUCCCGGGAAAUCCACCCGCCCAACGGGUGGGCGUCCGGUAGAAACUGGCCGGCUUGGAACCGGAAGGCUCAGAGAGUACGUCCGGGGUAGGAGUGAAAUCCCGUAAUCCCGGACGGACUACCGAUGGCGAAAGCACCUCGAGAAGACGGCUCCGACGGUGAGGGACGAAAGCCAGGGUCUCCAACCGGAUUAGAUACCCGUGUAGUCC
RNAcentral lists this ribosomal RNA (293 nucleotides) under uncultured bacterium. Its description in RNAcentral is "partial 16S ribosomal RNA". It matches the Rfam family "Archaeal small subunit ribosomal RNA", at positions 455 to 747 of the family's 1478-position model. The record is from RNAcentral.